AUGACACUGCACUACCCUAUAGCUGUGGGCCUCAACAAGGGCCACAAGGUGACCAAGAAUGUGAGCAAGCCCAGGCACAGCCACUGUGGGCGCCUGACCAAACUCACUAAAUUUGUGUGGGACAUGAUCCCAGAGGUGUGUGGCUUCACCCCUAACGAGUGGCGUGGCAUGGAGUUACUGAAGGUCUCCAAGGUCAAACAGGCCCUCAAAUUCAUCAAGAAAAGGGUAGGGACAAACAUCUGCACCAAGAGAAGGCAGGAGGAGCUGAGCAACGUCCUGGCUGCCAUGAGGAAAGCAGCUGCCAAGAAGGACUGA
RNAcentral lists this long non-coding RNA (315 nucleotides) under Homo sapiens (human). Its description in RNAcentral is "non-protein coding lnc-CXCL10-1:1". Lineage: Eukaryota; Metazoa; Chordata; Mammalia; Primates; Hominidae. The record is from RNAcentral.